UACAGAGGGUGCAAGCGUUAAUCGGAAUUACUGGGCGUAAAGCGUGCGUAGGCGGUUCGUUAAGUUCGUUGUGAAAGCCCCGGGCUCAACCUGGGAAUGGCAAUGGAAACUGGCGGGCUGGAGUAUGGCAGAGGGGGGUGGAAUUCCGCGUGUAGCAGUGAAAUGCGCAGAUAUCAGGAGGAACACCGGUGGCGAAGGCGGAUCUCUGGGCCUUACCUGACGCUCAGGUGCGAAAGCUAGGGGAGCGAACAGG
This 253-nucleotide ribosomal RNA is filed under the name uncultured bacterium. RNAcentral's name for it is "partial 16S ribosomal RNA". It matches the Rfam family "Bacterial small subunit ribosomal RNA", at positions 524 to 776 of the family's 1533-position model. The record is from RNAcentral.